RNAcentral lists this unclassified non-coding RNA (433 nucleotides) under soil metagenome. Its description in RNAcentral is "partial contains 5.8S ribosomal RNA, internal transcribed spacer 2, and large subunit ribosomal RNA". The stretch from base 1 to 120 matches the Rfam family "5.8S ribosomal RNA", at positions 35 to 154 of the family's 154-position model. The record is from RNAcentral.
GAUGAAGAACGCAGCGAAAUGCGAUACGUAAUGUGAAUUGCAGAAUUCAGUGAAUCAUCGAAUCUUUGAACGCAUAUUGCGCUCUCUGGUAUUCCGGAGAGCAUGCUUGUUUGAGUAUCAGUAAACACCUCAACUUCCAUAUCUUUUUUGAAAUGGGAGUUGGACUUGAGUGAUCCCAACGCUUUUCCUCACCGAAAAGUGGCGGGUUACUUGAAAUGCAGGUGCAGCUGGACUUUUCUCUGAACUAUAAGCAUAUCUAUUUAGUCUGCCUAAAAAACAGAUUAUUACCUUUGCUGCAGCUAACAUAAAGGAGAUUAGUUCUUGUGCUGACUGAUGCAGGAUUCACAAAGACAGGCUUCGGCCGACUUUGUAAACUCGAUCUCAAAUCAAGUAAGACUACCCGCUGAACUUAAGCAUAUCAAUAAGCGGAGGA